GAUGAACGCUGGCGGCGUGCCUAAUACAUGCAAGUCGAGCGAACGGACGAGAAGCUUGCUUCUCUGAUGUUAGCGGCGGACGGGUGAGUAACACGUGGAUAACCUACCUAUAAGACUGGGAUAACUUCGGGAAACCGGAGCUAAUCCCGGAUAAUAUUUUGAACCGCAUGGUUCAAAAGUGAAAGACGGUCUUGCUGUCACUUAUAGAUGGAUCCGCGCUGCAUUAGCUAGUUGGUAAGGUAACGGCUUACCAAGGCAACGAUGCAUAGCCGACCUGAGAGGGUGAUCGGCCACACUGGAACUGAGACACGGUCCAGACGACUACGGGAGGCAGCAGUAGGGAAUCUUCCGCAAUGGGCGAGAGCCUGACGGAGCAACGCCGCGUGAGUGAUGAAGGUCUUCGGAUCGUAAAACUCUGUUAUUAGGGAAGAACAUAUGUGUAAGUAACUGUGCACAUCUUGACGGUACCUAAUCAGAAAGCCACGGCUAACUACGUG
RNAcentral lists this ribosomal RNA (497 nucleotides) under uncultured bacterium. RNAcentral's name for it is "partial 16S ribosomal RNA". It matches the Rfam family "Bacterial small subunit ribosomal RNA", at positions 28 to 507 of the family's 1533-position model. The record is from RNAcentral.